UAGGGAAUCUUCGGCAAUGGACGAAAGUCUGACCGAGCAACGCCGCGUGAGUGAAGAAGGUUUUCGGAUCGUAAAACUCUGUUGCUAGAGAAGAACAAGGACGUUAGUAACUGAACGUCCCUUGACGGUAUCUAACCAGAAAGCCACGGCUAACUACGUGCCAGCAGCCGCGGUAAUACGCAGGUGGCAAGCGUUUUCCGGAUUUAGUGGGCGUAAAGCGAGCGCAGGGGGGUUUUUAAGUCUGAUGUGAAAGCUCCCGGCUCAACCGGGGAGGGUCAUUGGAAACUGGGAGACGUGAGUGCAGAAGAGGAGAGUGGAAUUCCAUGUGUAGCGGUGAAAUGCGUAGAUAUAUGGAGGAACACCAGUGGCGAAGGCGGCUCUCUGGUCUGUAACUGACGCAGAGGCUCGAAAGCGUGGGGAGCAAACAGG
This 429-nucleotide ribosomal RNA is filed under the name Gemmatimonadota bacterium. Its description in RNAcentral is "Gemmatimonadetes bacterium partial 16S ribosomal RNA". It matches the Rfam family "Bacterial small subunit ribosomal RNA", at positions 355 to 776 of the family's 1533-position model. The record is from RNAcentral. Lineage: Bacteria; Pseudomonadati; Gemmatimonadota.